RNAcentral lists this ribosomal RNA (253 nucleotides) under uncultured bacterium. RNAcentral's name for it is "partial 16S ribosomal RNA". It matches the Rfam family "Bacterial small subunit ribosomal RNA", at positions 524 to 776 of the family's 1533-position model. The record is from RNAcentral.
UACGUAGGCAGCGAGCGUUGUUCGGAGUUACUGGGCGUAAAGCGUGCGUAGGCGGUGUCUUAAGUUUGUUGUGAAAUCUCCCGGCUUAACCGGGAGGGUGCGGCGAAUACUGAGAUGCUGGAGUGCCGGAGAGGUAAGCGGAAUUCCAGGUGUAGCGGUGAAAUGCGUAGAUAUCUGGAGGAACACCGGUGGCGAAGGCGGCAUCCUGGACCAAUUCUGACGCUGAGGAGCGAAAGCCAGGGGAGCAAACGGG